GACGUAGGGCGCGAGCGUUGUCCGGAUUUAUUGGGCGUAAAGAGCGUGUAGGCGGCUUUGCAAGUCCGUUGUGAAAACUCGAGGCUCAACCUCGAGACGCCGGUGGAAACUGCAAAGCUAGAGUCCGGAAGAGGAGAGUGGAAUUCCUGGUGUAGCGGUGAAAUGCGCAGAUAUCAGGAGGAACACCCGUGGCGAAAGCGGCUCUCUGGGACGGUACUGACGCUGAGACGCGAAAGCGUGGGGAGCAAACAGG
RNAcentral lists this ribosomal RNA (253 nucleotides) under uncultured bacterium. RNAcentral describes it as "partial 16S ribosomal RNA". It matches the Rfam family "Bacterial small subunit ribosomal RNA", at positions 524 to 776 of the family's 1533-position model. The record is from RNAcentral.